UCCUACGGGAGGCAGCAGUAGGGAAUUUUCCACAAUGGACGAAAGUCUGAUGGAGCAACGCCGCGUGAACGAUGAAGGUCUUCGGAUUGUAAAGUUCUGUUGUCAGGGACGAACAAGUACCGUUCGAACAGGGCGGUACCUUGACGGUACCUGACGAGAAGCG
Molecule: ribosomal RNA, 163 nt
Filed under: uncultured bacterium
Lineage: Bacteria
Description: partial 16S ribosomal RNA
Rfam family: Bacterial small subunit ribosomal RNA
Source: RNAcentral